CUUAAACAUGCAACAACAAGAUAAUACAAUUUAAUCCGAUCAGACCCAGUUCUCCGCUAGGAGUGAGCUUCCUAAUGUAAUCGCCUUUACAAUCAAAUCACAUUCAUUCUCUUCUCUUUUUUUUUUUUUUUUUGGUAACUCGUUAUUUUUGCUCUUGACAGAUAAGCCAUAAUUCACGAGAUUACAACAUUUGGAGGUGAUCCAAAGUGUUCUUGCGUGGUUUCCCUUGCUCAUGACAAAACAUCAGCGGAGCAGAGACCAAGAGCUAUCAAGAAC
Molecule: long non-coding RNA, 276 nt
Filed under: Salvia miltiorrhiza (redroot sage)
Lineage: Eukaryota; Viridiplantae; Streptophyta; Magnoliopsida; Lamiales; Lamiaceae
Description: long non-coding RNA (SMIL_LNC010568)
Source: RNAcentral